RNAcentral lists this ribosomal RNA (253 nucleotides) under uncultured bacterium. RNAcentral's name for it is "partial 16S ribosomal RNA". It matches the Rfam family "Bacterial small subunit ribosomal RNA", at positions 524 to 776 of the family's 1533-position model. The record is from RNAcentral.
UACGGAGGGUGCAAGCGUUAUCCGGAUUCACUGGGUUUAAAGGGUGCGUAGGCGGGCAGGUAAGUCCGUGGUGAAAUCUCUGAGCUUAACUCAGAAACUGCCAUGGAUACUAUUUGUCUUGAAUAUUGUGGAGGUAAGCGGAAUAUGUCAUGUAGCGGUGAAAUGCUUAGAUAUGACAUAGAACACCAAUUGCGAAGGCAGCUUACUACACAGUAAUUGACGCUGAGGCACGAAAGCGUGGGGACCAAACAGG